GGAUAGCUCAGUUGGUUAGAGUAUGGUACUGAUAACACCAAGGUUGCAGGUUUGAUCCCUCUAUGGACA
RNAcentral lists this transfer RNA (69 nucleotides) under Podarcis lilfordi (Lilford's wall lizard). RNAcentral describes it as "tRNA.Ile". Lineage: Eukaryota; Metazoa; Chordata; Lepidosauria; Squamata; Lacertidae. The record is from RNAcentral.